RNAcentral lists this ribosomal RNA (970 nucleotides) under Pseudosoriculus fumidus (Taiwan brown-toothed shrew). RNAcentral's name for it is "partial 16S ribosomal RNA". It matches the Rfam family "Bacterial large subunit ribosomal RNA", at positions 989 to 2578 of the family's 2925-position model. Lineage: Eukaryota; Metazoa; Chordata; Mammalia; Eulipotyphla; Soricidae. The record is from RNAcentral.
UUAACAUGUAAAUUUAAUUGUUAAUCUAAAGGGGUACAGCCCUUUAGACUAAGGAUACAACCUUAAUUAGAGAGUAAAUAUGAUUAAACACCAUAGUUGGCCUAAAAGCAGCCAUCAAUUAAGAAAGCGUUCAAGCUCAACAACUACCUCCCUCUUAAUUUAAUAAAUUAAAAUUAACUCCUACAACCACACUGGACCAAUCUAUAAUAUUAUAGAAGAAAUACUGUUAAUAUGAGUAACAAGAUUAUUAUCUCCAAGCGCAAGUUUAUAUCAGAUCAAAUAAUAACUGAUAAUUAACAGCUGAUUAAAUAAAACCCAAAAAUUAAUUAUUUAACCACUAGCCUGUUAACCCGACACAGGAGCGCACAACUUAUAAAGGAAAGAUUAAAAGAAGUAAAAGGAACUCGGCAAACACAAACCCCGCCUGUUUACCAAAAACAUCACCUCUAGCAUUUCUAGUAUUAGAGGCACUGCCUGCCCAGUGACAACUGUUAAACGGCCGCGGUAUCCUGACCGUGCAAAGGUAGCAUAAUCAUUUGUUCCUUAAAUAGGGACUUGUAUGAAUGGCCACACGAGGGUUUAACUGUCUCUUACUUCCAAUCAGUGAAAUUGACCUCUCCGUGAAGAGGCGGAAAUAAAUGAAUAAGACGAGAAGACCCUAUGGAGCUUUAAUUUACUUAAUUCAACAGGAAUUAAUUUAUUACCCACCAGGAAUAAUAAACACCCUGUGUGAAUUAAAAAUUUUGGUUGGGGUGACCUCGGAGUACAAACAAACCUCCGAGAUAUUUAUACCAAGACCCACAAGUCAAAGUAACUAAUACAACUGAUCCAGUCUAACUGAUCAACGGAACAAGUUACCCUAGGGAUAACAGCGCAAUCCUAUUCAAGAGUCCAUAUCGACAAUAGGGUUUACGACCUCGAUGUUGGAUCAGGACAUCCCAAUGGUGCAGCAGCUAUUAAUGGUUCGUUU